UACGUAGGGUGCGAGCGUUGUCCGGAAUUAUUGGGCGUAAAGAGCUCGUAGGCGGUCUGUCGCGUCGAUCGUGAAAACUUGGGGCUUAACCCUGAGCUUGCGGUCGAUACGGGCAUGACUGGAGUUCGGCAGGGGAGACUGGAAUUCCUGGUGUAGCGGUGAAAUGCGUAGAUAUUGGGAGGAACACCAGUGGCGAAGGCGGCUCACUGGACCGGUACUGACGCUGAGGCGCGAAAGCGUGGGGAGCAAACGGG
RNAcentral lists this ribosomal RNA (254 nucleotides) under uncultured bacterium. RNAcentral describes it as "partial 16S ribosomal RNA". It matches the Rfam family "Bacterial small subunit ribosomal RNA", at positions 524 to 776 of the family's 1533-position model. The record is from RNAcentral.